CGGUACAUCGGUGACAGGUGGUGCAUGGUUGUCGUCAGCUCGUGUCGUGAGAUGUUGGUUAAGUCCCGCAACGAGCGCAACCCCUAUUGUUAGUUGCCAUCAUUCAGUUGGGGCACUCUAGCGAGACUGCCGGUAAUAAACCGGAGGAAGGUGGGGAUGACGUCAAAUCAUCAUGCCCCUUAUGACCUGGGCUACACACGUGCUACAAUGGUUGGUACAACGAGUUGCGAGUCGGUGACGGCGAGCUAAUCUCUUAAAGCCAAUCUCAGUUCGGAUUGUAGGCUGCAACUCGCCUACAUGAAGUCGGAAUCGCUAGUAAUCGCGGAUCAGCACGCCGCGGUGAAUACGUUCCCGGGCCUU
RNAcentral lists this ribosomal RNA (360 nucleotides) under uncultured Streptococcus sp. RNAcentral describes it as "bacterial SSU rRNA". It matches the Rfam family "Bacterial small subunit ribosomal RNA", at positions 1021 to 1382 of the family's 1533-position model. The record is from RNAcentral. Lineage: Bacteria; Bacillati; Bacillota; Bacilli; Lactobacillales; Streptococcaceae.